Long non-coding RNA from Saccostrea echinata, 275 nucleotides. RefSeq lists it as uncharacterized. The transcript has 3 exons. Lineage: Eukaryota; Metazoa; Mollusca; Bivalvia; Ostreida; Ostreidae. The record is from RefSeq and is a predicted model, not a curated record.
UGUGGUUACACUGUUUUAAGGAGCUUGUUAUAUCCUGCAAUAGUUCUUGAUUAACAUUACUAUCAAGGCAAUAAGGAUAAAUUUUGUCGAAGAGGAUAAGAAUACUGGAAUGGAGAGCUACACUAAGUCAGGACAUCAGUGUUUAAAGAGUGUUUAAAGAAGAGGAAAAACGACGACCAUACUAUCCUCUUGGGAUCCCCCUCCCUCAUAUACAUAUCUCUACCUAGCUAUGGAUAGUGGACAGCCAUCAAGAGAUCUAAAUCUAAAUUAAAUCU